RNAcentral lists this ribosomal RNA (468 nucleotides) under uncultured bacterium. Its description in RNAcentral is "partial 16S ribosomal RNA". It matches the Rfam family "Bacterial small subunit ribosomal RNA", at positions 28 to 507 of the family's 1533-position model. The record is from RNAcentral.
GACGAACGCUGGCGGCGUGCUGAACACAUGCAAGUCGAACGGAAAGGCCCUGCUGUUGUGGGGUGCUCGAGUGGCGAACGGGUGAGUAACACGUGAGUAACCUGCCCUGGACUUUGGGAUAACUUCAGGAAACUGGGGCUAAUACCGGAUAGGAGCUCCUGCUGCAUGGAGGGGGUUGGAAAGGUUGGGCGGUGGGUGAUGGACUCGCGGUUGAUCAGCUUGAUGGAGGGGUAGUGGCUUAGCAAGGAUUUGACGGGUAGCCGGCCUGACAGGGUGACAGGCCACCUUGGGACUAGGGUACGGCCCGAAGUCCUACGGGAGGCAGCAGUGGAGUAUUUUCCUUCAUGCGGCGACUUCUGAUCAAGCAACGCCGCGUCCGGGAUAUCGGCCUUCUGGUUGUAUUCCGCUUUCGCCUGUGACGACGCCUGAUUGCCUUUCAUGGGUAAAGAAGCACCGCCUACCUACCUG